This 267-nucleotide ribosomal RNA is filed under the name Salmonella enterica subsp. enterica serovar Bareilly. RNAcentral's name for it is "partial 23S ribosomal RNA". It matches the Rfam family "Bacterial large subunit ribosomal RNA", at positions 1493 to 1757 of the family's 2925-position model. Lineage: Bacteria; Pseudomonadati; Pseudomonadota; Gammaproteobacteria; Enterobacterales; Enterobacteriaceae. The record is from RNAcentral.
GGGCGACGGUUGUCCCGGUUUAAGCGUGUAGGCUGGUUUUCCAGGCAAAUCCGGAAAAUCAAGGCUGAGGCGUGACGACGAGGCACUACGGUGCUGAAGCAACAAAUGCCCUGCUUCCAGGAAAAGCCUCUAAGCAUCAGGUAACAUCAAAUCGUACCCCAAACCGACACAGGUGGUCAGGUAGAGAAUACCAAGGCGCUUGAGAGAACUCGGGUGAAGGAACUAGGCAAAAUGGUGCCGUAACUUCGGGAGAAGGCACGCUGACAC